UGGUGUGGCUACCUCCAGAGUCAGCAUGAAUCACCAUCCCCAUGGCCUCUGCUGCACUUACUCAGUUUGUCCAGGGGAGCCAAGGAGAAGCAAAUCUGCCUUCAGCUACUCGCUGUCCUAACUUAAGUCUGAGAGGUUUUCAGUCUUCCCCAUCCUAUUCUUCGUGCAUCUUCUGGUCCCCAACAUAAUAAAAAUAUAAGCAAACCACAAAUUUAAUGAGCUGUUUUUUCAUCCUUCCACUCCACUAGGGCCCCAGUGAUAUCUUCACUACUUGUGAGCAACACUGGGUCAAAAAAACACUGUUUGCCUGUAACUAAGCACUGCCUUCAACCUUUGGCAUCAGAUACGUCCUAAUUUCCUUCUCCAUCACGUGCUUUUUACUUUCCUUAAAAAAGAAAAGUAAAACUAUUGCUCAUUUGUUACUUUCAACCCAUAUUUCCUUCUACUCAAAACCACCCUGUGCCGCCCAAAACUAAAACCCUCUUGGGAUCACUGACCCGGGAAGGAGCUUGAGAUGGAAGCUCCUAUUAGUUUUUUUUUCCAGUGUAAUUGCCAUUUUCAUUUCCCAAAAGCCCUGGGUGCUUUGGGGAGGUGUGCGGGCAGGGGAGAAGGAGGGUUCCAUCAAUGCUGCCCUUCUGUGUCCGAGCCCUGGGAGCUGGGAAGGGCAUGAGGUCUGGGGGAGUUCGGGACUGAGGGAGCCCUGGGAGACUGGGGGAGCCUCGGAGUUUGAGGGAGCUGCAGAUCUGAUGGAACUUUGGGGGGGCCCAGGGAGCCUUGGGGUCUGAGGGAGCUGCACGCUCUGAGGGAACUUUGCGGGGCUGGGGAAGGUCUGGAGGGCUGGGGGGCCCCCGGGGAACUAGGGGAGCACCGAGAUCUGGGGGAUCUCUGGGGAAUCCUUGAGGAGGUUUUUUUUUUUUUUUUUCCUUCUCUGGCUGUAUGGUCCUUUGAAGGAAAAACCAGCCCCUUUCUGGAAAACUUGAGUCAGGGUGGAGGAGGCUGUGGCAGGGCCGGGAGCAGCUCAGGUGCUUUCACGGGGAGCUGGAGAGGGGACAGAGCAUCCCAUCAGCGCUGGGAAGAGCUGGUUCUUCUGGAGCUGUGGUGUGUGUGGCGCUUCCCGACCAGGUGCUGGGUGUGAGCAUCUUCUGUGGAGAAGCCCAACCUGUAGCAGGAAAUGUAACCAGCGUGUUUCUUGGCCGCACCAGCUGGGGGUCAGGGCAUUUCUUUUGAAAUGAAGCAGGGUGCUGCUGCUGUACCGGUGGUUUUAUAAAAGAAGAAUUCCCUGCCCCAGUAUUGCUCUGCAGAUGGAUGUCCAGGAUCCCCCCUGGCAGAGUUUAUUCGGGAUGGGCUGUUGUGCUGGGCCACUGGGCUCACGUUAAACUUUUUAAAAGUCUGCAGUGCUGAUUUAUGAACUGGCAGAUUGCAGCGUGGCUUAGGCUAAAAAUAGCCAGGAGGUAUUGGGGGAGGAUAUUAAUGCCAAGCGUGGCCUCACGCCAAUCCACUGUCUGUAUCUCUUGCUGCAAGGCAUGGCAGGGAGGGGUUCAGGCGGCGCUCAGGGAUGUGGUGGUGGGCAGGAAGUCGUUUUUGUAGGGUGAAAUCUAUCUCUGAGUGCUUCAUGUCAUAGAUACAUGUGGGAUGGGACCUGACACAAACAAAUGGAAAGCUAUGGCUGCCUGGAAGCUGCUUAGCUCUGGCUCACUGCCUGCUCCCAUUCCCUCCUGCUCUCCGGGGUCCCGAGACCAGCACCUGCUGGUGAGCAAAAGGAUCUGAGAACUUCCAGGCCUUUCUCCUCCUUUGUGGGUGUGUUAGAAAACGCUUGGAUUGUCUUUCCUCCGGGGCAGAUGAUGCUGAGUCUGCUUUGCUCAGAAGGUGUGAGGGAAACUCGGCAGGCUGGAUGAGGCUGCCAGGAUGGGCAGGGGUCAGUGACCACCGGUGACCCCAGUGACCAGCACCUUCCGCUCCGCGUGAGCGGCCGGGGCUGUGUGGCGGAGGUGCCUCGGGGCGAGCAGCUCCUUUUGCCCACCCCCGCUGGGGGUUUCUCUCAGGUGCGUGAGCCAGGUGAGUCCCAAGCAGCCUGCGGAGACACAGUCAAAGCGGGCGGCCGCUACCUGCUCACUGCUGGGAGCCCGCAGCCCUCGGCCGCAGGGGCCGGGCCCCCAGCGCCCCCACAGCCAGCACAUGGCGCCCGCCGCCAUGUCAGCGCCGCCCUCCCUCCAGCAGGGGGCGGUGCGGAGCGCGGGACGCCGCCCCGCGUGGCCGCCGCCUGCCCCUUUAA
Molecule: long non-coding RNA, 2272 nt
Organism: Ficedula albicollis (Collared flycatcher)
Lineage: Eukaryota; Metazoa; Chordata; Aves; Passeriformes; Muscicapidae
Source: Ensembl